UACGUAGGGUGCGAGCGUUAAUCGGAAUUACUGGGCGUAAAGCGCGCGUAGGUGGUUUGUUAAGUUGAAUGUGAAAUCCCCGGGCUCAACCUGGGAACUGCAUCCAAAACUGGCAAGCUAGAGUAGGGCAGAGGGUGGUGGAAUUUCCUGUGUAGCGGUGAAAUGCGUAGAUAUAGGAAGGAACACCAGUGGCGAAGGCGACCACCUGGGCUCAUACUGACACUGAGGUGCGAAAGCGUGGGGAGCAAACAGG
This 253-nucleotide ribosomal RNA is filed under the name uncultured bacterium. RNAcentral's name for it is "partial 16S ribosomal RNA". It matches the Rfam family "Bacterial small subunit ribosomal RNA", at positions 524 to 776 of the family's 1533-position model. The record is from RNAcentral.